This 433-nucleotide ribosomal RNA is filed under the name uncultured bacterium. RNAcentral describes it as "partial 16S ribosomal RNA". It matches the Rfam family "Bacterial small subunit ribosomal RNA", at positions 29 to 507 of the family's 1533-position model. The record is from RNAcentral.
AACGAACGCUGGCGGCAUGCCUAACACAUGCAAGUCGAACGAAACCUUCGGGUCUUGUGGCGCACGUGUGCGUAACGCGUGGGAACCUGCCCUUAGGUUCCGAAUACCUCCCCGUAAGGUGUCCUAAUACCGGAUAGUCUCUUCGGGCCAAAGAUUUCUCGCUUUUGGGUGGGCCCGGGUUGGAUUCGCGAGUUGGUAGUGUACAAGCCUAGCAAGGCGAUGUUGCAUGGCUGGUCUGUUAGGAUGACAAGCAAGGAUGGCACUGCGACACGGCCCAGAACCCUACGGAGAGGAGCAGUAGAGAAUAUUGUACAAGGGGCGAAAGUGUGAUACAGCAACGCCGCGUGUGUGAGGAAGGCCGUAGUGUUGUAAAGCUCUUUUACCCGGGAUGAGAAUGACAGUACCGGGUGAAUAAGCUCCGGCUAACUCCGUG